This 443-nucleotide ribosomal RNA is filed under the name uncultured bacterium. Its description in RNAcentral is "SSU rRNA". It matches the Rfam family "Bacterial small subunit ribosomal RNA", at positions 26 to 518 of the family's 1533-position model. The record is from RNAcentral.
AGAACGAAUGCUGGCGGCAGGCUUAACACAUGCAAGUCGAGCGCCCCGCAAGGGGAGCGGCGCACGGGUGAGUAACGCGUGGGAAUAUGCCCUUUGGUACGGAAUAGCCUCGGGAAACUGGGAGUAAUACCGUAUAUGUCGAGAGAUGAAAGAUUUAUCGCCAAAGGAUUAGCCCGCGUUAGAUUAGCUUGUUGGUGGGGUAAUGGCCUACCAAGGCGACGAUCUAUAGCUGGUCUGAGAGGAUGAUCAGCCACACUGGAACUGAGACACGGUCCAGACUCCUACGGGAGGCAGCAGUGGGGAAUAUUGCACAAUGGACGAAAGUCUGAUGCAGCCAUGCCGCGUGAGUGAUGAAGGCCUUAGGGUUGUAAAGCUCUUUUGGCGGGGACGAUAAUGACGGUACCCGCAGAAUAAGCCCCGGCUAACUUCGUGCCAGCAGCCGC